Molecule: ribosomal RNA, 253 nt
Filed under: uncultured bacterium
Lineage: Bacteria
Description: partial 16S ribosomal RNA
Rfam family: Bacterial small subunit ribosomal RNA
Source: RNAcentral
UACGGGGGGGGCAAGCGUUGUUCGGAAUUACUGGGCGUAAAGGGCUCGUAGGUGGCCAACUAAGUCAUACGUGAAAUCCCUCGGCUUAACCGGGGAACUGCGUCUGAUACUGGAUGGCUUGAGUUUGGGAGAGGGACGCGGAAUUCCAGGUGUAGCGGUGAAAUGCGUAGAUAUCUGGAGGAACACCGGUGGCGAAGGCGGCGUCCUGGACCAAUACUGACACUGAGACCCGAAAGCGUGGGGAUCAAACAGG